UAACAAGGUUUCCGUAGGUGAACCUGCGGAAGGAUCAUUGUCGA
Molecule: ribosomal RNA, 44 nt
Filed under: Scutellaria baicalensis
Lineage: Eukaryota; Viridiplantae; Streptophyta; Magnoliopsida; Lamiales; Lamiaceae
Also listed under: 1 other name
Description: partial 18S ribosomal RNA
Source: RNAcentral